RNAcentral lists this long non-coding RNA (221 nucleotides) under Mytilus galloprovincialis (Mediterranean mussel). The record is from RNAcentral. Lineage: Eukaryota; Metazoa; Mollusca; Bivalvia; Mytilida; Mytilidae.
CGUGUGCACUCUUGUUUAUAUAAAUGAGACAGUUGGUUUUCUUGUUUAAAUUGUUUUACAUCAUUUUGGGGCCCUUUAAAAUAGCUUGCUAUUAGGUGUGAGCCAAGGCUGUGUGUUGAAUACAGUAAUUUGACCUAUAAUAGUUUACUUUUACACAUUGUCUCAUUGGCACUCAUACCACAUCUUUUAUCUUGUAACUAAGAUGUAUGCAUGAACCCAGC